This 460-nucleotide ribosomal RNA is filed under the name uncultured bacterium. RNAcentral describes it as "partial 16S ribosomal RNA". It matches the Rfam family "Bacterial small subunit ribosomal RNA", at positions 338 to 795 of the family's 1533-position model. The record is from RNAcentral.
CCUACGGGAGGCAGCAGUGAGGAAUAUUGGUCAAUGGGCGCUAGCCUGAACCAGCCAAGUAGCGUGAAGGAUGACUGUCCUAUGGGUUGUAAACUUCUUUUAUAUGGGAAUAAAGUGCAGUAUGUAUACUGCUCUGCAUGUACCUUACGAAUAAGGAUCGGCUAACUCCGUGCCAGCAGCCGCGGUAAUACGGAGGAUCCGAGCGUUAUCCGGAUUUAUUGGGUUUAAAGGGAGCGUAGGCGGGUUGUUAAGUCAGUUGUGAAAGUUUGCGGCUCAACCGUAGAAUUGCAGUUGAUACUGGCAGCCUUGAGUACGGGAGAGGUAGGCGGAAUUCGUGGUGUAGCGGUGAAAUGCAUAGAUAUCGCGAAGAACUCCGAUUGCGAAGGCAGCCUGCUGGACUGUAACUGACGCUGAUGCUCGAAAGUGUGGGUAUCAAACAGGAUUAGAUACCCUUGUAGUC